AUUAAUCUUGGCAGGCAGGCCCAGCGCUGAUGUGUUCAUUGUGAUGCAGGAACAGAGGGACCCAUUGCUGUGUAAAAUACCAUAAAAUCCAUCUUGUUCUGCAAAAGGUAGGACCAGGGUGAGCUGCUAUUUCCAUAGAGUAAGUAUUUCUUCACCGGAGUUUGCAAGCCAUGUAAAAUGAAUGAGUUAGUGUUCAGCGGAGGCCUCCAUCCUACCCAGAAAUCCCAUAGAAACAAGGGCAGAUUUACGCUUUCGAGAAAUUACUUUUU
This is a non-coding RNA of Pelobates cultripes (western spadefoot toad), 269 nucleotides long. Lineage: Eukaryota; Metazoa; Chordata; Amphibia; Anura; Pelobatidae. The record is from the annotation of a GenBank genome assembly.